CUGAAUGACUUGCCACCGAAGGACCACUCGCCCCUGCAGGCCUCCCAGGAAGAUUGCGUGCAUGAGUGACGUGGAGGACUUCAGCGGGAGCUUAUGGAACACAGCCUCAGCUGUGCACAGGCCCGUCACCAAGGGGGGGGGGGGGGGGGGGGGGGGGGGGGCUGGUGGGGCCGGCCCCCCUCGGCGAGCAAUUGGCCCCCCAACGGUGGCCCCCCUUGUUGGUACUAUUUGGCCCCUCCUGAUGCUCGGGGCUUGCGACGGGCCUGGCUGUGCACAAAACAUACAGGUUCCAAUCUGAAGUCCAUCCAGAUGAUCCUUAAUAAGACAGCAGACGGUACAGGCAUAGACUCCAACACCCUGGCCUUACAGAUGAAGGGCCAUCCUGAGCUGAGGGACAAGCUUCAUGUCGUCACCUCUUGAGGGCCUUUGCCUGUCUACCCUGGGGUGGUCAACUCAGAAUUACCUGAGGAUCUCAAGACAUCUAUCACCAGGCAUCUUCUCAACAUGCAUCUCGACCCCAAAUGGCAAGCUCAACUGAACCAAUACAUGGUGUCCAAA
RNAcentral lists this long non-coding RNA (558 nucleotides) under Patiria miniata (bat star). RNAcentral describes it as "uncharacterized LOC119722068, transcript variant X1". The record is from RNAcentral. Lineage: Eukaryota; Metazoa; Echinodermata; Asteroidea; Valvatida; Asterinidae.